Molecule: transfer RNA, 68 nt
Filed under: Petrodromus tetradactylus (four-toed elephant shrew)
Lineage: Eukaryota; Metazoa; Chordata; Mammalia; Macroscelidea; Macroscelididae
Description: tRNA-Asp
Source: RNAcentral
GAGAUAUUAGUAUAAUAAUUACACAACUUUGUCGAAGUUGAAAUAUAAACUAACCUUUAUAUAUCUCU